AUGCAGAAGUUCAGAUGACUUAGCUGAACUCUCUGGUCCCUGCUCAGUUUCCAAGAGAUCCACAAUUUCAAUGGAGCUCGUGAAGCCCUUGUCACCAACAAUUUUAUCCUUUCUGUGAGAAAGUUCCUGAGCCACAUCACGUGAUUUAGCAUUACCAUGACUCCUAAGUUGAUAAUCAAUCUCAGUAGCGGCUAGGUCAAAUAUGUGGACAUUGAAACAUGAGGUCUGUCCAUAUUUGAAGAGUAAAAAGUACCAACAGUUGACAGAAUGAUGUUCCAUAAACUCUUGCCAACCAUCAUGAAGCCAAAUCAUUUUACCAGCCUUCUUCAGGCCCACACACCAGAAAUCAUCAGUGGGAACAAUAAUCUUGACGGUAUCAAGGAGUUCAUCUCCAUGUUCCCGGACAAAUUUGUCUGGCAACCGAAGUUGACGAUCAUCCAUGACAGAGGGCUCAACAAUGACGUAGAAACUGCCGGCCGAGUAGGAGUUGGAGCAAGA
This 498-nucleotide unclassified non-coding RNA is filed under the name Hevea brasiliensis (rubber tree). Lineage: Eukaryota; Viridiplantae; Streptophyta; Magnoliopsida; Malpighiales; Euphorbiaceae. The record is from RNAcentral.